RNAcentral lists this long non-coding RNA (1532 nucleotides) under Homo sapiens (human). RNAcentral's name for it is "non-protein coding NDUFA6-DT:53". The record is from RNAcentral. Lineage: Eukaryota; Metazoa; Chordata; Mammalia; Primates; Hominidae.
ACAGAAACGCCGCUUGGCCUUUGGACUACACCAUCUGUCGCUCGCUCUAACGAGCCGGCGUUGCCGCCAGGGGACGCUCGGGCCGCAGGAGGUCGCUGGGUCGUGAGCUGGCGCCGGGGACGCCGAGCGACUGCGGGGUUUCCCUCAGCGUCCUGCUAUCCGGCUGCCCGCCGCGCUCCUUGGUAGUGUCCGUGGGCGCGCAGGCCUUGAAGAACCUCCUCGUGGCGGGACCCCGAGCGCAGGAGAGGUGUCAAAGAGCUGGCGCGUCUCCAGAGCCCCGGGAGGAAGGCUGUAACGGCAGCCCCAUCGUAGACAGGGACAUUCGCAUCCCGAGCCCUGGAUCUCUGAAAACCAGCCCAGAAUUUGGAAGCUGGAAGGAACUUUAGAUCGUCCAUUCUGAGUGUCUCUCUUCGCUGGCGUUUUCCCACUGAGGUUAUGUAAACAUGAAGAGGAGCCUACAAGUGUCAAGGAAAAAACGACAGCUAACCACAGGGCAGGCCAUGGGCAAGAUAUCUCAGUGUUCUCCGCUCUCAUAGGUCAGGUCACGACCCCCAGGAGACCUGGAGGACUGAAUGCUGCUGCCCCCAAGGAGGAGGCUGCCGUCUUAUCCCAGGAGGGAGAGCAGGUGAAGUCCCCAGGGGAGGAAGCACCUAGCCCCAUUCCUGCUGAGCAGGAGGUGGCAGGUACCCCAGACUGGGAGGUAAGGACAGCCCGGGGCUUCGACUGAACGUCUCCAGCGUGGGUCCAACUGAGCAGCCAUGGAGCACUGCAGAGUGGGAGGCAGCAGGGCAGGGAGGCAGUGCUGGAGGCUGGCUCAACCCCAAGACCAGCAGGCCAAGCUGCCAUCCCAGGGGAGCGAGGACGUCUGUGCAGAGCUGAGAGGCAGCAGCCAUGUGUGAACAGACUGGGCCUCAUCCUGGCCCCACCGACUUUGUGUGGACAGAGCCUGUUUCCCUGUCUGUGCAACACAGAACCUGCCUGAUCUCACUGCUGGAUCCCUCUUCUUCCUGCCAGGAAAAUAAAAAGGUUCAAAAGGAAGUUGCUGCGUAUCCAUCUGAGGCCUCUGAGGACAGCAAAGAGCAAAGGCCCUGGGACCGGGUCUACGUGCCCAUGACAGAGCUCUGGCUGGACUGGUUCUGAGCCUCUAACACCCCCAAGACUCAGAACCGUGAAGAAAAUCUUUCCAAUAAAUCCAAGAGUUGCUGCUGCUAUAGGCCAGGCUGCCACCUUUCGGGGCCUCCGUCUUCAGACAAACCCAGCCUGGCUUCAUCCACACUCCCUGUCCCCACAGCUGCAGGAACAGCACUUCCUGCCACCGAGCCGUGUGACCACAGUGGAUUGUCUCUGGAGGGGCCCAAGGGGGCCCUGGCCACCCUUCUGACUGACUCGGUGCCAGGGGACAGACCAACGUCCCUCUCGUGCUGACAGCCGGGCCGCACCCUGGCAUGAGGGCAUUUACAGAAAUGCUGGCGGAACUGCUGCCAGGGAGGCUGUAGGGUCCUCUGGCAAAAGAGGCCUCAGGUGGCUCCUCA